RNAcentral lists this ribosomal RNA (420 nucleotides) under uncultured prokaryote. Its description in RNAcentral is "bacterial SSU rRNA". It matches the Rfam family "Bacterial small subunit ribosomal RNA", at positions 355 to 774 of the family's 1533-position model. The record is from RNAcentral.
UGAGGAAUAUUGGUCAAUGGGGGCAACCCUGAACCAGCGACGCCGCGUGAAGGAUGACAGGGCUUUGCCCCGUAAACUUCUGUCGGGAGGGAAAAAAGGACUGUUUGGCGGUCUGGGAUUGUACCUCUAAAGGAAGCACCGGCUAACUACGUGCCAGCAGCCGCGGUAAUACGUAGGGUGCAAACGUUGUCCGGAAUUACUGGGUGUAAAGGGUGCACAGGCGGUUUUGUGCGUCAGAGGUAAAAUCCCACAGCUCAACUGUGGACCUGCCUUUGAUACGGCGAGACUUGAGUACAAGAGAGGAUGAUAGAAUUCCUGGUGUAGCGGUGAAAUGCGUAGAUAUCAGGAGGAAUACCAGUGGCGAAGGCGGUCAUCUGGCUUGUAACUGACGCUUAAGCACGAAAGCAUGGGUAGCGAACA